Molecule: non-coding RNA, 21 nt
Filed under: Caenorhabditis elegans
Lineage: Eukaryota; Metazoa; Nematoda; Chromadorea; Rhabditida; Rhabditidae
Source: RNAcentral
UAGUUUGUUGAUAUGUUUUUU